CCAAGGAGUCUAACAUGUGCGCGAGUCAUUGGGACUUGUACAUGCCCAAAGGCGCAAUGAAAGUGAAGGACGGCCCUCAGCCGUCCGAGUUGGGACCCCGGCACACGACUGUCGGGGGCACCAACGACCCGUCCCGUCCGCAGCGUCGGUGGGGCGGAGUGUGAGCGUACACGUUGGGACCCGAAAGAUGGUGAACUAUGCCUGGGCAGGACGAAGCCAGAGGAAACUCUGGUGGAGGUCCGUAGCGAUUCUGACGUGCAAAUCGAUCGUCAGACCCGGGUAUAGGGGCGAAAGACUAAUCGAACCAUCUAGUAGCUGGUUCCCUCCGAAGUUUCCCUCAGGAUAGCUGGCACUCGUGUGGGAAUCAGUCUCAUCCGGUAAAGCGAAUGAUUAGAGGCCUUGGGGCCGAAACGACCUCAACCUAUUCUCAAACUUUAAAUGGGUGAGAAGUCCGGCUUGCACGACUGAAGCUCGGACGACGAUGAGAGUGCCCAGUGGGCCACUUUU
This 507-nucleotide ribosomal RNA is filed under the name Charinus sp. 3 GSM-2017. RNAcentral's name for it is "partial large subunit ribosomal RNA". It matches the Rfam family "Eukaryotic large subunit ribosomal RNA", at positions 666 to 1138 of the family's 3401-position model. Lineage: Eukaryota; Metazoa; Arthropoda; Arachnida; Amblypygi; Charinidae. The record is from RNAcentral.